RNAcentral lists this ribosomal RNA (1257 nucleotides) under Leander tenuicornis. RNAcentral describes it as "SSU rRNA". It matches the Rfam family "Eukaryotic small subunit ribosomal RNA", at positions 607 to 1810 of the family's 1831-position model. The record is from RNAcentral. Lineage: Eukaryota; Metazoa; Arthropoda; Malacostraca; Decapoda; Palaemonidae.
AAGUUGUUGCGGUUAAAAGCUCGUAGUUCGAGCUCAGUUCCGGACUGGCUGGGGAGGUCACCGCCCGGUGCUUCCCCGUCAGGCUCCGAACAGCCUCCGUGAGCGGAGGCCAAGCCGGUUCUGCCGGGGUGCUCUUCGCCGAGUGUCCCGCGCGGCCGGCCGGUUCACCUUGAACAAAUGAGAGUGCUCAAAGCAGGCUACUCUUGAAUAAUAUGCCCGAAUGUUACCUGCAUGGAAUGAUGGAAGAUGAUCUCGGUUCCAUUUUAUUGGUGGUGGGAGCCCGAGGUAAUGAUAAACAGGGACUGUCGGGGGCAUCCGUACUACGACGCGAGAGGUGAAAUUCAGUGACCGUCGUAGGACGAACAACAGCGAAAGCAUUUGCCAAGAAUGUCUUCGUUGAUCAAGAACGAAAGUUAGAGGAUCGAAGGCGAUCAGAUACCGCCCUAGUUCUAACCCUAAACGAUGCUGACUAGCAAUUCGCCGUCGUUAUUCCCAUGACGUGGCGAGACGCCCCCGGGAAACCUCAAGUCUUUGAGUUCCGGGGGUAGUAUGGUUGCAAAACUGAAACUUAAAGGAAUUGACGGAAGGGCACCACCAGGAGUGGAGCCUGCGGCUUAAUUUGACUCAACACGGGAAACCUCACCGGGCCCGGACACCAGAAGGAUUGACAGAUUAAGAGCUCUUUCUCGAUUUGGUGGGUGGUGGUGCAUGGCCGUUCUUAGUUGGUGGAGUGAUUUGUCUGGUUAAUUCCGGUAACGAACGAGACUCUGGCCUACUAAAUAGUCGACGGGCGUUUUGGUGCAUGGGCCCCGUUCGACACAGUCUUCUUAGAGGGAUGAGCAGCGAGUAUAGCUGCAGGAGAUUGAGCAAUAACAGGUCUGUGAUGCCCUUAGAUGUCCUGGGCCGCACGCGCGCUACACUGAAUGGGUUAGCGGGUUGUCCUUCUCCGAGAGGAGCGGGAAAUCGCGUGAAAACCAUUCGUGAUAGGGAUUGGGGCUUGCAAUUGUUUCCCAUGAACGAGGAAUUCCCAGUAAGCGCAAGUCAUCAGCUUGCGUUGAUUAAGUCCCUGCCCUUUGUACACACCGCCCGUCGCUACUACCGAUUGAAUGAUUUAGUGAGGCCUUCGGACUGGCGGUCCUGGACUGGGGCUCCGGCGUUUCCCUUCCGGGGUGCCGGCGACCCGCCUGGACGUGCCGGAAAGAUGUCCAAACUUGAUCAUUUAGAGGAAGUAAAAGUCGUAACAAGGUUUCCGUAGGU